Long non-coding RNA from Trematomus bernacchii (emerald rockcod), 581 nucleotides. RefSeq lists it as uncharacterized. The transcript has 3 exons. The record is from RefSeq and is a predicted model, not a curated record. Lineage: Eukaryota; Metazoa; Chordata; Actinopteri; Perciformes; Nototheniidae.
GUAAGGGUCAGGGUUAUAUAAUCCAACCAGGCACCUCAGACUGGAAAAGUAUCAAAAGUAUCCUCCUCAAUUUAAAGGUUGUUGUUGUUAACAAUGCCAAGGACACUGGUUAAAUACUCCAACAACCACAUGUAUCACAGACUCUUAGUUUUCUGAUUCCUGCUCUUGACCUUGUGACGGACCACAGCAACAGUGGUGAAGAAGUUUCCCAUGAACAAAAUGAGGAAGCAGAGACCACACACCAUGACCUGGCAUUAAGAGAUGAAUACAUGAUCUGGGAGCUGCGCCAUUCGGAAGAGAGAGAGGCUAUUGAAGAGCUGCCAGAACUACAAGACAAAACACGAGGACUUCAGGAUUUGUCUUGUAAAAAGUGAAUGAAUUGAUUUGCAGCUGUACAAACACAGACACGCUAAAGCUUAAGCUGUUAUUCAGAUAACCAUCAUCCUAAACAUUGUCCCAAAUUGUGCCUAAGUCUAGAAUGACAUCAGCAUUUUCCAUCAGAUUUUUUUAUCCAGCCAUGACAAAGCAUAAUUUGUUAAGCUUAAGCUCAGUUGUGAAUCAUCUCAGUGUCCAAGACUGUA